Macaca mulatta (Rhesus monkey) is the source of this 2373-nucleotide long non-coding RNA. NCBI's taxonomy places the organism in Eukaryota, Metazoa, Chordata, Mammalia, Primates, Cercopithecidae. The record is from Ensembl.
GGUCUGUAUUCGGGGGUGGUCGGGGCAGUAGAGCUGAUCAUCUCAACUCACUCUGGACACGCUCGGGAAGUAUGCAGGAGGUAGACAUCCUAAGACUGAGCUCAUCGUGGCAAUCCCAUUCUCCUCGUAGGCGGCUGGUUCAAGGGAGGGCAUAUAUCCCUAUUCUGGCCAAUGGGACUUGAGAAGAUGUCCUUGGGGCAACUUCUGCACCAUGAUCAGCAGCCCCUGUUCUGUCCACACAAUUCGUCAGUGGUUGCUACAGCCAUCUUGCAGCCAGUCUCAGGAUGAAACCAACACAUGAAGCCAUGAAAAUCACAGAAAUGAGCUGACGCCCUGAUGGGCCUAGAGCUGCCCUCCUUGGGUGCUUCUUACGUGAAAUAUUAAGCCCCUUAUUAUUUGUAUCAAUGCCAGUUAGGAUUUUCUACCACUUGCAGCUGAAGACAUCCUAAGGUCUAUACUUGUAAGUGGAUUCUAAGUGCAGCUCUUUCUGUUUCAGAUUCAACGAGGUCACCACUAUACCAGAUGUCCGCUUCUCUGACCCACCACAGGAAGAUCACUAUGCGGGACUUGUAAAAGAGAUUUCCAAAACUCAGUUUUGUAACUUUUGGCCACGUGUCUAUUCAAGAGUAUCAAAGCGUUGAGGCAGUUAUCCAGGAGGUCUGAAAUGACAGAAGGUGUUUGGAGAGCGUGCUUAGCACUCUGUGACUUCCACUCACACUUGCCUUCUCCCUCUCCCUCACUUCCAGCCCAGGGAGGGGAGCUUUAAUGGGAUCCUCAAGGAGCUGGACAUUUAAUUCACAGAGCCGAAGGGGCUUGGUGGACUGAUGUUUGAUUCAUGCCUAAAAAUUCUAAAGGGUAUGAGAACGUGAUUGUGGAUGGCCUGGACUCAUGGACAGAGUUCCACAGAGCAGCAUUUGCAGGUGGCCCAGAGGUGCUGUUGGCCACCUGUGGCAUGUUCAGAGGUAUGAUGGGGAGAUGACACCAGGUGACCAGGAUUCAAAAGGGCUUGCUGAGGUGGUGGAGGCCCAGCAUUCGACAAGGAAAGAGGUGAGGAAAAAAACAGAAAAAUGAGUGGUCAUAAAGCUUCUCAAAUACUACCAUUUUACAUAAGACAAUUUUGGAAACAUCUGAAGUUUGGCAGCAAUUCCAGGAGAAUUUGGCUCUGCAAAUCCCAGUAGCUAAUUGUACUAGUUUGCCAGGGCCACAGACUGGGGGCAUUAAACAAGACUGUAUUUAUUCACCAUUCUGGAGGCUGGAAGUCCGAGAUCCAGGUGCUGAUAGGGUUGGUUCCACCCGGGGCCACUCUCCUUAGCAGUAGAUGCCGUCUUCUCCCUGUGUCCCCACCUGGUCCUCCCUCUGUGUGUCUCUGUGUCCUCAUUUCCUUUUCUGAUAAGGACACCAGUCAGAUUAGAUUAAGUCCCAUCCUAAUGGCCUCAUUUUCACUUAAUUACCUCUUUUAAGAGUCAAAUUCGGAGGCACUGAAGGUUAGGAUUUCAGCAUACGAAUUUUGGGGGGGCAUAAUUCAGCCAAUUGCACUAGUGACCAUCUCAGGGGUCUGUAGAGCCAGCUGGUUCCCUACAGCCAGUGCUCCCCAUCUCCAUUACAGGAGCCGCUGCAGGUAGCCCCAGGUCAUGGUGGCUGCCACGGACCACUGCCUUCAGCACCCUCCCUCCCUCCUCUGUCUCUACUGUCAUCCCCCACAGUGACACACACAUUACCCUUGUGGAUCCUAAAUGUGAAUCGACUGCUCCUCAUUCAUCCUGGGUGUACCCGACAUCUUCGAAUCAUCUCAGGGCCACUCCUAUUUGUUGCCUCGAUCAUUGGCUACUUGAACUUAAAGAGGUCAAAUAAACAGAGUUCAAAGCCAUGGUGCAUGUAAUAAUGUUCGGAAUUCAGGAUGUAGACAGGGAACCUCCCUGAAUGUUGUCACAAUUCUUUUGGUCCUAUAGUAAGGCAUGCCCCACAUUAGAACAUACAGCUCAGAGGAGGUUUCUCCCUGGGGACAGCUAUGCCCCUAGGGAAACGUCCGGUUCACAGUGAGUCACCGCUGAGAGAGCGUCAGCUCAUGUUUUCGGUAAUUUUCGAAUAAAAUGGUAUCUCUAUUAAAUACACGUAUAGAAAGGUAAAAAUAGAUUGAGCAUUUUCUAAGUAGCUCUGGCCCAAGGUAAAGUGGUGAAGGAGUUGUUAGUUCUCUCGGAGCAAAAUAAAGCUGCUCUUCCUUCAUCCCCAGCCACACUUCAACUUCAUCCUAGGACAAACAAGAAAUGCCCCAUAGAAAGAAAAUGAAAACGCUGUUCUUGACUGGACUGCUUCAGAAAUAUGCUUGGAUUGAGAGUUCCAGCUUUUCUGGGAUUCAUUCUUACAGAGUCUAGC